UUAAUAGUGGGAAAGCGCCGAAAGACAAAUGGGAAACCAAAAUAGAAGCUGUUGGCCAAGAUUGACCUCUACAGUAUUUCUAAACCGUGCGAGGGCAAUACGGAACCAUCAGAUGUCGCGCUUAUGUGACUCAACUAGCUGGUAAACUUGGAAACUUUUCAGAUUAUCAAUCAUCGUUACCUCCUACGCCGAGUCAGUUAGAGGAUGAAAUGACUCACGAUCCGCUUCUCUGACAUUUAGCAGGUGACGAAUGACGAAGUUAAGGAGAAUUCCUUUCGCCCCUUUUUGCUCAUGUGUUUAUGUACGUCGGUUGUUCGCGUUCACCAAUCAUAGAAGUACCCGCAACGCUAUACAGCAGGGUUGAUCACCAACUGGAUGGUAACGCAGCUGUUGAGCGGCCUCCACGAGUUCUUAAAUUAGUUUGCUUGUUUUUUUCAUCUUCUGCUUCUUCUUCUUCUUCUUCUAACCGUCUGGUUAUUUGGACGACCGUGUCGAAUGAAGAGCUUCACAUAUACAACAGUGGCCCCCUAUACCCUAACGAAGGGAAAAGGAAAAAAAGAAAUGGAGCAUGGAUGUACCUUGAUUUCAUCGAAGGUGACGGGCUGCGUGCGGUAACGGCCAAUAGCUCCAGCCGAUGGCUGCGCCUCCCGAUACAGGAACCUCCGCUGGUUGCGUCGAUUCGGAGUUCCGUCGGCUGCACCGCGAUGUAGUCGAGAUAUGUGCUCGGGAAAAACGGCGUCUACCUCUUUCCUAAACUCUUGGCAAGCCAUUUCAUCUGACCAGGACCGAGUAUGAUGAUGCGUUACCGAUUUUUCCCUCUCGACAGUCUUCUCCGAGUUUCACGCCUCUCGCGUCUUCCCAAAAUAUCACGCGGUAUCACACGAUAACGCCUUUUGAUUUUGCCCCCAACUUGGUUCUAGAUAGUAUUUAAUCAAGAAUGUAAAUGAGCAUGUGUUGUUCAAAAUUACCUAACAAUCUCAAAAGUGACUUCACCAAAGCAAGAUUUCACAAACAUCUGCCCCAUUGCCUCACAACCAUAUUUCAUGGGUUUUAAAAAAUGGUUGUCAAAGAUGAGAGAUGGAAUUAUUUUUGAAAACAAAUCGCGAUUAAUCAUUAGAGUUAUUUCACGGGCCAGUUUGACAUUUUCUAAUUUAACCAGGCUUAAUUAUUCUAGUUUAACAGCAUUUGUUUUUAAUUAACAAUGAAACAAACAAAAAAAAUCAUCAGAACGUGAUUCUGAAAAUCCGUGAAAACUACACGAAAUGUAAUCCUACAAUGAUUCCAGUUGAUAAAAAUAGCCGGUGACGGUUACGCGGGGUAGAAGCCGUUAAAGGUUACUUUUAAUAAGAUCCAACUCAACAACAAUUCCAAAUUUAAUAAUCCUUUUACUCACCUUAAUUUCAGUUGGGAAAUACACUUAUGACAAGUAAGGAACGCUCGUCAGUCGGAUCUAAAAAUACUAGAUAAAGCUUCUCUUUCAGGCGUAUCGACCUUCUUCUCUAGAGUUUAGUCUUUGUUCGGCUUUAAAACGAUGAUUAUAAAUUUAGA
This 1548-nucleotide long non-coding RNA is filed under the name Daphnia pulex (common water flea). Its description in RNAcentral is "uncharacterized LOC124193279". Lineage: Eukaryota; Metazoa; Arthropoda; Branchiopoda; Diplostraca; Daphniidae. The record is from RNAcentral.